GGGGGGGGGUGUCGGAUAUUGGGCGUAAGAGCUUGUAGGUGGUUUGUCGCGUCUGCUGUGAAAAUCCGAGGCUCAACCUCGGACUUGCAGUGGGUACGGGCAGACUAGAGUGUGGUAGGGGAGACUGGAAUUCCUGGUGUAGCGGUGGAAUGCGCAGAUAUCAGGAGGAACACCGAUGGCGAAGGCAGGUCUCUGGGCCAUUACUGACACUGAGAAGCGAAAGCAUGGGGAGCGAACAGGAUUAGAUACCCUGGUAGUCCAUGCCGUAAACGUUGGGAACUAGGUGUGGGUCUCAUUCCACGAGAUCCGUGCCGCAGCUAACGCAUUAAGUUCCCCGCCUGGGGAGUACGGCCGCAAGGCUAAAACUCAAAGGAAUUGACGGGGGCCCGCACAAGCGGCGGAGCAUGCGGAUUAAUUCGAUGCAACGCGAAGAACCUUACCAAGGCUUGACAUACACCGGAAUCACUCAGAGAUGGGUGCGUCUUCGGACUGGUGUACAGGUGGUGCAUGGUUGUCGUCAGCUCGUGUCGUGAGAUGUUGGGUUAAGUCCCGCAACGAGCGCAACCCUCGUUCUAUGUUGCCAGCACGUCAUGGUGGGGACUCAUAGGAGACUGCCGGGGUCAACUCGGAGGAAGGUGGGGAUGACGUCAAAUCAUCAUGCCCCUUAUGUCUUGGGCUUCACGCAUGCUACAAUGGCCGGUACAAAGGGCUGCGAAACCGCGAGGUGGAGCGAAUCCCAAAAAACCGGUCUCAGUUCGGAUUGGGGUCUGCAACUCGACCCCAUGAAGUCGGAGUCGCUAGUAAUCGCAGAUCAGCAACGCUGCGGUGAAUACGUUCCCGGGCCUUGUACACACCGCCCGUCAAGUCACGAAAGUCGGUAACACCCGAAGCCGGUGGCCCAACCCUUGUGGGGGGAGCCGUCGAAGUGGGACUGGCGAUUGGGACUAAGUCGUAACAAGGUAACC
RNAcentral lists this ribosomal RNA (965 nucleotides) under uncultured bacterium. RNAcentral's name for it is "bacterial SSU rRNA". It matches the Rfam family "Bacterial small subunit ribosomal RNA", at positions 534 to 1501 of the family's 1533-position model. The record is from RNAcentral.